RNAcentral lists this ribosomal RNA (333 nucleotides) under Trichomonas vaginalis G3. Lineage: Eukaryota; Parabasalia; Trichomonadida; Trichomonadidae. The record is from RNAcentral.
GAAGCGGCCACACCCGGCUGGCAACAUCCAGCUCCACUCCGAACCUGGAAAUUAAGCAGUCGCGGGCCACAUCAGUACUGGGCUGGGCGACUUCCCGGGAACGUGCGGUGCUUGCUUCUUUUUCCUUUUUGCGCGGUGCAGGGCUAUUGCCUGCACCAAUACUACACUCUACACCUAUGUUUGUCCCUGCUAAAACUCUUAUAUGUUGAGAUAUUUUAUAAUUUUAUAUUUUUUAUUAAAAAAUGAAAAUUUUUCAUAAGCGAGACUCCCUCCGCUGGAGGAAAUUGAGAGUGGUAAUGGUAGUGUGAAUAGUGUGUGACGAACAAUCCUUUC